Molecule: transfer RNA, 54 nt
Filed under: Diploscapter coronatus
Lineage: Eukaryota; Metazoa; Nematoda; Chromadorea; Rhabditida; Rhabditidae
Description: tRNA-Val
Source: RNAcentral
AAUUCUUUAUUUUAUUUAGAAUAAUAUAUUUACAAUAUUUAGGUUAUAGAAUUG